This 393-nucleotide ribosomal RNA is filed under the name uncultured bacterium. RNAcentral describes it as "bacterial SSU rRNA". It matches the Rfam family "Bacterial small subunit ribosomal RNA", at positions 356 to 766 of the family's 1533-position model. The record is from RNAcentral.
CGGGAAUUUUGGGCAAUGGGCGAAAGCCUGACCCAGCAACGCCGCGUGAGGGAUGAAGUAUUUCGGUAUGUAAACCUCGAAAGAAUGGGAAGAAUAAAUGACGGUACCAUUUAUAAGCUCCGGCUAACUACGUGCCAGCAGCCGCGGUAAUACGUAGGGAGCAAGCGUUGUUCGGAUUUACUGGGCGUAAAGGGCGCGUAGGCGGCGCGGUAAGUCACUUGUGAAAUCUCUGAGCUUAACUCAGAACGGCCAAGUGAUACUGCUGUGCUAGAGUGCGGAAGAGGCAACCGGAAUUCUUGGUGUAGCGGUGAAAUGCGUAGAUAUCAAGAGGAACACCUGAGGCGAAGGCGGGUUGCUGGGCCGACACUGACGCUGAUGCGCGAAAGCCAGGGG